RNAcentral lists this unclassified non-coding RNA (328 nucleotides) under soil metagenome. Its description in RNAcentral is "partial contains 5.8S ribosomal RNA, internal transcribed spacer 2, and large subunit ribosomal RNA". The stretch from base 1 to 120 matches the Rfam family "5.8S ribosomal RNA", at positions 35 to 154 of the family's 154-position model. The record is from RNAcentral.
GAUGAAGAACGCAGCGAAAUGCGAUAAGUAAUGUGAAUUGCAGAAUUCAGUGAAGCAUCGAAUCUUUGAACGCACAUUGCGCCCCUUGGUAUUCCGAGGGGCAUGCCUGUUCGAGCGUCAUUAUAACCCUCAAGCUCAGCUUGGUGUUGGGGCCUGCUGCACUGGCAGCCCUUAAAAUCAGUGGCGGCGCCAUCUGGCUCUAAGCGUAGUAAUUCUUCUCGCUAUGGAGUCCUGGUGGAUGCUUGCCAUCAACCCCCAUUUUUUCUAUGGUUGACCUCGGAUCAGGUAGGGAUACCCGCUGAACUUAAGCAUAUCAAUAAGCGGAGGA